AUUGAUUUGGCAGACAUAUUGCAUUAAAUUUAGAAUUUAAUAAUAUAAUUUUUAUUAUAAUCAAUA
RNAcentral lists this transfer RNA (66 nucleotides) under Entylia carinata. RNAcentral describes it as "tRNA-Leu". The record is from RNAcentral. Lineage: Eukaryota; Metazoa; Arthropoda; Insecta; Hemiptera; Membracidae.